Molecule: long non-coding RNA, 3985 nt
Organism: Cavia porcellus (domestic guinea pig)
Lineage: Eukaryota; Metazoa; Chordata; Mammalia; Rodentia; Caviidae
Exons: 4
Source: RefSeq, a predicted model, not a curated record
CACACUCAACAAAGAGACACUGCUCAGGCUGCUUGCCAAAGCAGGUGUGCUUUCCUUAUCACUGUUUAAGUCUCACCAAAACAAAGAAUGAGGAGAGGUGGGUUUUAUGACCUCACUGAAGAGAAAAGGAACUGAAAGGUGACUAAAAACUUGCUGCCAAACAAGUAAAAGUCAUGGAGACUUUGAAUACUACUGUACAACCAGCUUAAAAAAUGUCUAAGGUGUUACACGAUGGAUGGUGAAGACAGGGGCACUGUAAGGAAGAACAGAAUGAGAGAGACCCUGCAGAGCGAGAGAAGAGACAUCUGUGACACAGGGAGGGACCGUGAUGCCAAGGCAGGACCCUCUCAAAGGGCAAACAGCGACAGACUGCGAAGUUCCUGAGAGAUAGAAUAACAGGAAGAGAAUAAGAAGCAGAAGAGGAGGGCCAGGAGACAGCUCAGAGCACAGCACCUGCCUGGCAAGCACGAGGUCAUGAGUUCGGUUCCCAGUACAAAAACAAAAACAAGAAGCGCAGGAGGAAGCAGAGCCCUCUCAGAGCUGGCUCACAGAUUUAGGAAGAGAAAGAAUUAACAGGAAAUCUGACCUCCUCACCACCGUUCAGUUGAGGAUCCUGAGUCCAAAGAGGUUCUGCUGCAUAGUCAUCCUGUGCGUAGCGUAUACUCCUGUGCUCCAAUUCGGGCCCUCCUGCUUCCUCCUGAGACCUCCUCAGCUUGUCUUUGCCUCCUCCACCUCUCCUGCCCCUCUCCCCAGGUGAUCACAAGCCCUGCCUCACCAUGCUAGCUAACCAGAGAGGCCACACCACGUCAGUUUGUGGCCAGGUCCUGUUGAUAAGUCAGUGUGGUUGUAUCUCAUUGGUCACAUUAGCCCAGCUGCAGCCCAUCGGGUUCCAUUGGCAUUGGAACUGGCAUUGCCAGGCACUGUGUUCAGUCCCCUUGAUGAGGAAAACAAAACUUUGGGAAGCCAAAAUCGAAGACCAAAUUAGAUAGCUUGCACAAAGCAACAGUCUCACGCCACUUCUGGUAUCCUGCUUAGACUGCCUGGCUCAAACCCUCUGUGCUUAACUGCACCCCGUUCUGCCUCUGGAACUCAGCCCACGCCAUUCCACCUAAAUCCUCUACAUAAGACUUCCCCCAAGAAAGUCUCAGGCUCAGAUUUUGGAGCGUAGCUCCUUCCUCUGAGCCUGCAGACAUAGUGAUAUUUGGUUCUCUCCGCCUUUCAGUGUCUUCACUUGCAGUAAAUCUAAAAAUGCUUUCACACCCUCACAACAGCAGUAUCUUAUAAUGAGCCGCCAUGACUCCCAGUUGGAAUGCUCCUCUCUGAAGAGCCCGUUCCCCUCUGAGUGGACUUGUGUCUGAGGCACACAGUUUUCUUUUCUUUUCCUCUGUCCUCUCUGCUGUGUCUGCCACCACACAGCAGAGAGGACAGGAUCAGCCUGUAGUGACAGUUCCUGGGUGACACAAGAGUUCUAAGAGAAGAUUGCCUGGAAGUCCCCAGUAGGUAAAUGCCCCUGAGAGAAGGACAGUUCACCUCUCCUGAACCGUGCAAUCACAUGAUUAUAGAGAAACGAGCUUUGAGCCCAACGGCCUCAGCCCCACCACAAACUACAUAUGUGGAUGUAGGGACACUUUCAUGUUCUUCAGCCUCGGUUUCCACACUUGUCAAAGAAGACAAAUGCUUUAUUCUUAAGCUUAUGAUGAGAGUCAAGUAAGGUGAUAUAUAUCUGGAGUCCAGCACAAGGUCUGAUCCAUCACUCUCAACAAACGGCAGCAUACUUUCCUGCUGUCCCUUGCAUUUCUGAUAGCCCUAUGGUCACCUCCUCAUGGGGAGGGGAGUCCCAUCCUUCAGUCCUGUGUGUGUGUGUGUAUUUAUAAAUCAGGCACAGUAAGAGAUCAACAAUCACUACUAAUAAAAUAAUCAUGACAGUAUACUGUAAUGAAGGGUAUGUAAAACUUAUGAAAUGUUUAUUUCUAAAAUUUUCCAUUUAGACCACAUUUUCCAUUUGAACCAUAGUUGACCUCAGGUAACCACAACUGGAAAGCAAAACCACAGAUAAGGAGGACCGAGACAAUAAGCAGAGGCUAAAACUGAGAACCUUCAGAGUGCUCCAGUUGCUCAGUCCUGAAUUCCCUCUGCAAGGAAGUCACAGAUCUCAGACAGCCAAGAAGUUAGAAAGUUACAGGCCGGGCUGAGGCUCAUGACAGAGCACUUGCUUAGUGUGUGAAGCUCUGGGUUCCGUGCCCAGCUCUGUGUGGGUAAAGCCAAGAGAGCCUGUGGGUUUGUGAUCUAGGACAGGGAUAGAGGGGACGUGGGGACCAAACUAGCUUGGGAGCAGCACACUAAGGAGAUGGUGCCCCCUAGCUGAGUAGAGGAAGGUGCGCUGAGGCCCGACCUGAGGAAAAGGAAGUGGGGGACAUCUCCUGGGGGCAAGGGAACAGCUCCCAGUGCCCUAAAGGGCUAGAAGUCUGGGCACCUCUCCAGUGGAGUGCAGAGCCCCCAAAACGCUGGUAGUGUGAGCCCUGCACAGAGAAAGUGACCGAAAGGUGGCAUGAUAGAAUUAGGUACCAUUAAAGGGUGAAGUCUUAAUUUUUCCUACUUUCUGUGUGAUUUCCACAGUAACUUCUCUGGGUGUCCGCACAGCUCAGACAGUGGGGCGGGGCGGGGGGGGGGGGGCUCCUCACUUGCUUAUUUUAGUCCAAAAGUCUGUGGUGAAGGUGAAGGAAGGUCACCAAUGAAAAGCUUGGACUGCAGACUGAAAAUGCAGGACUGUAUUGCAAUGGUGAGGAGAGAAUAAAAUCUGGAAAAAUCUCUCCAGGGGAGGCUUCUAAGGUGCAGCUCAGCCUCGACCAGAUCCCACACCAGGAGAGAAGGGAGUCUCUUCACCAUCAGGUGAGCUGGGCAGACCGCGGAGCAGCCCAGGCCCUCCACCAUCCUCUUCCGCCCCCUUUACUUCAAAAGACUGAGAGAAAGUCCCUGCCUGCUACUGCCAUCCACUGGCCACACCUGAAAUGCAACUGAUUUCAAGGUCAGAAAUUAGAACAUUUGUGUAUCUAUAUUUGCAGAAGGUUUUUUGGUUUAUACUUUCCUUCCUUUAGACAUGAGACUCUUUUAGUAUACAAUAUAUUUCUGGAGUGGACAUUUUUGUAAAAAAAAAAAAAGAGAAAGGAAAUCAAGACGUGGAGAAGUUAAAUAAGUGGUCCAAAGGGACAGGCAGGAAAUGAGCCCUGCCUCUCUGACUGCAGGACCUUUGCUCCCUCCAGCAUCUCCAGUGUGAACACUUUGUUCUGCAGCUAUGGCAGCAGUUCUCAGAGUCUGGAAUACUCUGACCAUCUGAGUACAGAAUGCUCCUGACCUCCUCUACUCAUCCACACCAUCUCCCGUGGGCCCCGAGCACUUCUCCACCCACCUUGUCUAACCGCAGCCAUCUGUGGGCCAGGGUGGUGGAGGCUGUGGACAGUAUGCACAGAUUCGUGGUCUCCAUGGGCUCUCAGACUGGUGAGGGGAGUGAGCAGGCACCUAGGACGGUGGUGCCCAUGAGAAGAGCCACACAGUUCAGGCGGAAUUAAGGGGAGAUCAACAGGAAAGUGAAAUUAGAAUUUUAAAUAAGCCUGACCAAGGAUGUCACCAAGACCAGGCAGACAUGUCCUUGUCCAGAAGCCUGAUAGCAGGACAUUCCUUCCUUCGUGUAAGCUUGUCUAACAGAUGGCCUUAAGAUGUAACUUGCAAUGGAACAGGACAUUUCUCCCUUUGUAUAGCUUGUGCUUGGCAUAGCUGAUGGCCUUGCAAUGUAACCUAAAAUGUUUAAACCCCCUUAGCAACCUAAGAUGUCACCCAACCUUCCAAUCAUACUGCGCCAGAUCUACCUUUGUGCCUCCCUUUUUGCUCUCCCCAUAAAAGCCCCCAGAACUCUGCCUGGCAGGGCUCUGGCUCUUUGGGAGAGAUCCUAGUCAAGCCCACUGGUGUAAUAAACUGCCUCCUGAAUCUC